UUUUAUAUUUUUUUUCGAAUAUUCGCAACAGAAAAAAACCAUCUUUCAAACUUAUCUGUUUUUAUCAUCGAUAUUCGCUUUCCUAACAUAAUUUCGAAAAUUGGCAACCUUUUUUUAUAAAUCAUAAGCAAUAACCAUCUCAAAUAAAUUAUAAUUUAUCUAAAAAAAAGUUUGAUUAUCAAAUUCAAAUUUACUACCCGAAAAUAUCACUACCAUCACCUCCAUCAAAUUAAACCAGUUUUCUUCAUGUUUCAUUUUUCCAGCGAACCAUCAACGCAGCGCCAAACCGCCACUUAAGUGUUACAAUAAAUCAAAUUAUUCCCUGGCACACCACAAACUAUAUUCAGCAGUUAAGCGCUUUUGAGCAUUUCACCGUCUCCAAGCUGAUCGGCUUGAAUGCAAAGUCAAUAUUCGACGAGUACGUCAGAAUCAUCUCAACUAUACUUCUAUGAAAGCAUCCACCGGAAGCUCUUAAGGGCGCUGCGUACUGUCAAAAACAAAUGGUUCAGCUACUUCUUCUUACAUUCGUGGAAUUCACAAUGACAGAACGGAAUUUAAUACAUGAGAGAAAUACUGAGAACAGUUUGCUGGAAAUGUGUACUAAAAUCUGUUAAUUCUAAUGACUUGAACAACAUGGAUAAAGCAAUAUCUCUAAAACAAAGUGUAUUUUAACUAAAGUAAUAUUAUUAAUAUUUUAAUUUAUAUUUGUUUUUU
Long non-coding RNA from Bactrocera dorsalis (oriental fruit fly), 714 nucleotides. RefSeq lists it as uncharacterized. The transcript has 4 exons. The record is from RefSeq and is a predicted model, not a curated record. NCBI's taxonomy places the organism in Eukaryota, Metazoa, Arthropoda, Insecta, Diptera, Tephritidae.